This is a long non-coding RNA of Oryza brachyantha (malo sina), 2066 nucleotides long. RefSeq lists it as uncharacterized. The record is from RefSeq and is a predicted model, not a curated record. The transcript is spliced from 6 exons. NCBI's taxonomy places the organism in Eukaryota, Viridiplantae, Streptophyta, Magnoliopsida, Poales, Poaceae.
AACAUCCAAAUAUUCGAUGCGGAGAAAAAAAAAUCUCUGCCUCGUCAAUCCAAACACACGUAUGAAAAAAAAAUACUAGCAAAGGCUCACUCCCUCAACGCAAGUGGCAAGCACCUAUUUUUCUCAGUUUACUUUCCCUCUCUCUAGGCGACAGCGCCAGCGACGCCCUCUCUCCCCGUCAACCCUAGCGGCGGUGGAGCGAGGCUAGAUGACGCCGGCUCGUGCGGGUGGCGGGCGGAGCUCGACGCACGCUGACGGCGGAUCGACGCGCGGCAGUGGCGGAUCGAGGCACCGCAGCGGCGGGCGGAGCUCGAGGCACGGAGACGACGGAUCAACGCGUGGCGGUGGCGGGUCGAGGCGCUGCGGCGACGGCCAAAGCUCGGAGCGGGCGGGUGGCGGAUCAAGGCGCAGUGGCAGAUCUAGGUGGCUCGGGUUCCGACGGCGGGGGGCAGUGGCUCUGGCCGGCUUGGGGCCCGACGGCGGCGACGCCCAAGGUUCUAGUCAUGUUGUAAAAAUGGUGUCUGCAUGUAUGGUCCAAGGUCUAUUCAUGUUUAUUUCGGUCAGAUGAUGUCAAUUUUGGUGCUCCUGCUUUGAGCCACGUUUGCCGAUGGUGUUUGCUGAUGGUAUAGUCUUCCCUGCGUUGGAUGGUAGCUGCCUUGUCUGGUUAUGGGUGAAGGAAAUUUAAAGACAAAUUAAGGUGACCGUGUGGUUGGCCGAGUUGUCGGCGGGACUAUCGUUAGCUCGAAAGAAGUGUCCAUUCUUUCACAUGUAUGUGGAAUUUCAUUUGCCUUGGUUGCUCCCUGUUUAGAUGCUUUUUAUGAAGAUGUUUAUUUUCAUGGCUUAUUUCUGCUCAGCUCAGGUUGUGAUCCGUCGUUAGAUAAAGGUCAGCAUGUACUGUCUUCUGUAAACAUAGAAUGCAUUGAUGGUCGGUAUUUUUAUGUCUUAACAGAUCUCACCAUACCAGACACCUAAUCUGGUCCCUUCCUGUAAACGCCUCUUCAUAUGCAAACAUUGUACGACCAUCGUCUUUGGUUUUAAUACUACAUACAAGAUCCGGUGGAGGGGAGACUGUGCUGCCCAGAUCUGGUAAAUAUUCGACCCGGCGAGAAGGACGUCGGCAUGGACGACGAUAGCUUCUGCUCGCCUCCCUCGACAGGGCCUGCUUGAUUUGAGUUUACCAAGGAAAAUGUGCAUCGCUGAAGAUCAAUUUCAAUGAUACAGCCAUGUUUUCAGGUUAGUAGCCCUUUCCUUAUGCAGGUUAUCAGCUAUUAGUCAUUUUCCCUCAUUCGCGCUGGCUCAUAACAAUGAGUUGUACGUUGUAACUUGCACGUAGCUGACAUGUUUGGUAUGCUUCUUGUAACGGAUGGUCCAAUGUGCAAACUAGCUGUGCACUGCAGAUUGCAGUCGAUACUCUUUUUAUCAUCAGGAAAGCAACAAACAUCUACAUAGGAUCAAACUUGCAAAAACGCUGCUGCUGUUCUGCAGUUCUCACAAAUAUGGAUGCUAGAGCUUGUGGAUUUAUAUUGGUUGAUUUUGCUGUUGUUUUAAUACUAUAUACAAGAUCUUAGCUUGCUUUUGUUAACCUUUUGCGUCAUUUUGGUAUAUUUUUUACAUCAGCUUUAUAGUGUUUGGUCAAUGUAUUGUUGGAGACAAUGUGCCUCCUAUUUAGAUUCAACCAUACUCUUCUUAGUCAGGAAAUGUGGUUUACUACAGCUUUGCUUGUCCAUCUCAACUAAUACAAGUAAAAUUUUUGUCACACUUUCACUUUAAAAGGUUUCUCAUGAGAGUACACUAAUUAAUUGGCAAAGGUGAACACAUCAGCAAGCAAAGAACCCCAAACUCCGCGAAAAAAGGCAGUCACAGUCCAUUGCAAGGCCAAUUUGAUCGUGCUGAAGAACCGUACAAAGAUUGGCUCAAUUUAUACUUUCUAGAGGAGUUGAUGCAAGCACGUCCAAAAAUGAACUCUUUUUAUCCAACAUGUACUAAAAUAAAAGCCAUGCUGUAUUGCUACAAAUAUUAUAUUUCAUAUAUAGGGACUGUUCACAAACUAAAUAUAUUUAUAUAUA